This is a long non-coding RNA of Ictalurus punctatus (channel catfish), 4083 nucleotides long. The record is from Ensembl. NCBI's taxonomy places the organism in Eukaryota, Metazoa, Chordata, Actinopteri, Siluriformes, Ictaluridae.
CCCUAUUCCUCUCACAGCAAGCCUACACCCAAGAGCCAGAAAACGAAACAAACAGUCGUAUAUGUGGAAAUCGAAACUUAGACUACGUCCUAUACUAGCAUACUACCCUACUGAAUAGUGUGUCUGGUAUAUACUUGAUUUCACCACUGUGCUAGAUUGGUAUACUAUUUAGAACGCUAGGCUAGUUGUUUGGUUGUUGUACUUUUGCCCAGCUUUGGCGUCAGAGCUUUCUGUUCCUGUGGAUCACAGGACACGGACGCUGUCGUGCGCUUCAUCAGAUUUGAAGACUUGUAAAACCAGUUCUUGGUAUUUGAGACUGAAAGCCAUGACAGGAUAAUACAACAGGACAACGAAACCUUUCGCGCAGCUAUGGCAGUUCAUUCAGUGCGCGUGGAUUUUAUUUUUUAUUGAUUUAUUUUAAUCGUAUAGUCGCUUUUCGGGGCAACAAUUUGAUUUAUUUGGUUUUGGAGAUGCAGUGCCCGGAAUGUGGGUUCGCUCUGAAGGAGUCUUUCCGCUUUUGCCCCGAGUGCGGAUACAGAUUGAGCACGCAGCCAAGUAGCACUACAGGUGGAAAGUCCCCAGAACAACAGGCCCAUCAAGGAAAAGAGGCAAAACGAAACCAGGCAGAUCCAGACAUUGAUACCAAUUCAUCCUCAGGGCAUUGCAUUGAGUUUCCAGGAGCUAGAGUGAGAGAAAAGGAAAUUUCAAAUCCAGGUCUCGGUUCAUCACAGACUGACACAAAUCAAGAUAAAGAUGAUUAUACCUCUGAGAGAACGCACAAUGAAAUCUCUACUAUCAAAGAAGAUGUACCACAAGAUGGCGCCAGUUUGUCUUCUGAAAAAGCAACUGAAGUUAAAGUUAGGCUGUCUGUUGAUACAGCUUCCCAAAACACACAGACAUCACCCCAUGUCAGGGAUAGAAUGUCUUCCCAGUCUCAUCAAACAUCCUCUUCAGAUCUUCCAAGCCAGUGCUCUAGCCAGUCAUUUCCAGCACCACCUGGAAUAAGGUCCUCUUCAUCUGAAGCAUCCAGCCAGAGUAAUGUGGGGCCGGACUCUGGCAAGUGUCAACUCACUGAAGAACAUAUUGAGAUGGAAGUGAACAGUAUCUCUUCUGAGCCUGAUCCUGCGAACAAUCUCAAGACAGAGUCUUCAACAAAUGAUUUUUCUGUACAGUGUGCCCUGUCAGACUCUACAACUCAAUCACAGAUAAAGGACCAAAAUGAACACAAGUUACCACCUAAUGCAAAUGAAGCAACAAAAGUGGUGUUGAUCAGUCCAACACAGUCUUCCACAGCUGGCAUAUUGCCUCCUUUAGGUGAUUGGACCACUAAAGAACCAGAUACAAGUUCUCAUGGGGACAUUGCGAAAGCACAGACAGAAAACUUGAAUCAGCAAUCUUCAGUUCCUCUGCAGCCUUCAAACAGCCAUACUACUGAAGUCACAAAAGAGGAAACGCACACAUUGCAAUGUACCACUGGACAGGGUGAAAAACAACAAAAGCCCUUGAACAGGAAAUAUUUGGGCCACAUAAUAAUGAGGAAGGAAUUGCUGCAAAACCCAAAGCAGACAAUGUUGGCAACAAACAGCAAACUAAACAUGAAGAUGACACAGCACAAAACAAAGAAACAAAUGCCCUUCAGAAGAAAAGGAACAUAGACACCCCUAAACAAGGCUUUAACACUGAGAAGCCUUUACCUCAGCUGGAAAGUGUCCCUUCAAACCAAAACCAUGAAGUGGGUUUUCAAGAAGUGUCAUCAAAGAAGAAAAAGGACAACCAGAACUACACAUCAAACCAACAACAGGAUCCCAAAGACAUCACCAUUUUCUUUCAUGCCAUCUUAUCCAAAGACUUUAACAUAGACCCAUCAAAAGACACUGUUACUAUAAGAUCAGUUGGUUUAGCAGGGAAUUGGAAUCAGGAUAUUUUGGAAAUGGAAGUCACAAGAAACCUAGGACAUGACGGUUUUCUUGUGCAAGGAAAACUUGAAACCAGUAGAAAGAAUGUUAAGAAGUAUAUUCCUUAUAAAUAUGUUGUUCACAAGCAAGACAAAUCACAUGAAUAUGAAUAUAUCUACAAAGACAAUGCAAGGGGCAUUGUUAAUCGCUGUCUGAUAAUCAGAGAAAAUUUACUUACACAACAAGGGGAAUGGCACCAGUAUGAUGAUAUAAUAUGUGCAAAGCCUUCACAUGGUAGGGUUGAAAGGAUAAUAAACUGGUUGGUGAGCAUGAAGCCUGAUUUAUUGAGAGGAAGAUCUAUAGCAGGACAGAUCAUGUUGGAAACAAUCAGUGAUAUCCUUGGUGAAUGGAGUAAGCUAAAUGUGAGAAACUUCUUUGUCCAGCUCCAACAGUUCUUCAAAACUUAUUCACAUCCCCAUGUAUAUGAAGAACAGGCAAAUCCAUGGCACUCUUUGGAGUAUGGUGAAAGUCAGGUGAAAGAACUUCUCACACAUUUCAUGCUGACCAAGAUUGCUUCUGUUCAAGCAAACAGAAAUUUAUCAAUUCAAGAUCAGCAAAGGGCAGUGGCCAUCUUUCUGCUGGUUUAUCUAAAAUAUAAUCUACCCAUAGAUCAGAAAUCAGCUUAUGAAAUUGGCUGGCUACUUUGUCUUCCCACACUGUCAAAGAAAGAAUUCAGUUCCUACUGGGAUGCGUUUUUACAGCCUCUUCAAGAAGAAUGGUAUGACUUUGGUCUCAAUGGGUAGUUAGUCUAGUUAAUGUGCUUUAUAUUAGUAAUAGUUAAUAUGCUAUAUACACACACUGACUAUUUUAAUAAGAACAUCUGUACCCUUCCUCAGUCAUGCAAUUAUUUAAUCAACCAAUCAUGUGGCAUCAAUACAUAGAAUCAAACAGAUACGGGUCAAGAGCGUCAGUUAAUGUUUACAUCAAACAUCAGAAUGCAGAAAAAUGAGAUUGCAGUGACUUUGACUGUAACAUGUAGGUUGGUGUUGGAUGGGCUGAUUUGUAUCUUUCAGAAAGGUGCGAGAAAAAACACAUUCAGUGAGUGACAAUUCUACAAGCCAAAAUGUGUUCUUGAUGAGAGAGUUCAGAGGAGAAUGAUCAGACAGGUCCCAGCAUACAGGGAGGCGACAGUAACUUAAAUAACCACUCUUUAUAACCAUGAUGAGCAGAUAAAAUAUUUCAGAAUGCACAGCAAGUCAAAACCUGAGGCAGUCAGGUUUAAAUAGGAGAAAACCACAUCAGUUUCCACUCAUAUGAACCAAGAGCAAGAAUGUUAAGAUACACUAGGUAAAGGCUCAUCAAAAUUGGACAGUUGAAGAUUGAAAAGACAUUACUUGGUCUUUUUUCAAUCUUCACCUGUCUAGUUUCAGUGUGCUGUGUUCUUGGCUUACAGGAGGUGAACUUGAUAUGGUCUUCUGCUGUUUUAGAACAUCUGUCUCAAGGUUUGAUGUGGAUAUUUGAGUUAUUGUAGCUUUCCUGUCAACUGGAACCAGUCUAGCCAUUCUCCUCUGACCUCUCAGACCGCUUCUCUGCUCAUACAACUGCCACUUCAAUUCAAUUCAAUUCAAUUCAAUUCAAUUCAAUUCAAUUCAAUUCAAUUUUAUUUGUAUAGCGAUUUUUACAAUAGACAUUGUCUCAAAGCAGCUUUACAGAAAUAUAUAAACACGGUAUACAGAUAUUAAAAGUGCGAAUUUAUCCCAAUUGAGCAAGCCGGUGGCGACGGUGGCAAGGAAAAACUCCCUAAGAUGUUAAGAGGAAGAAACCUUGAGAGAAACCAGACUCAGGAGGGAACCCGUCCUCAUCUGGGUAAUCCACUUACUGGAUGUUUUGUUUUCUUUGUUUUUCAUUAUAGUUUGUAAACUGUAGAGACUGUUUCGUAUGAAAAUCCCAGAGGAUCAGUAGUUCAUGAAAUACCAGCCUGUCUGGCACCAACAACCAUAUCAAAGUCACUGCGAAGGUUUCUGCAUUCUAAUGUUGGAUGUGAACAUUAAUUGAAGCUCUUGAGCUGUAUCCACAUGAUUUUAUUCAUUGUGCUGUGGUCAUAUGGUUAACUGAAUGAGCAGGUAAACAGGCAUUUAAAUUGGCUGGUGAGUGUAUAUACAGUGGAUAUAAAAAAAAGAUUUAAAAA